This is a non-coding RNA of Pangasius djambal, 74 nucleotides long. NCBI's taxonomy places the organism in Eukaryota, Metazoa, Chordata, Actinopteri, Siluriformes, Pangasiidae. The record is from the annotation of a GenBank genome assembly.
GGCAGUCGGGGCCUAAUGGUUAGAGAAUCAGACUUGGAACCUGAAGGUCACGGGUUUGAGUCUCAGGUCUGGCA